This 812-nucleotide ribosomal RNA is filed under the name Staphylococcus aureus. RNAcentral's name for it is "partial 23S ribosomal RNA". It matches the Rfam family "Bacterial large subunit ribosomal RNA", at positions 1601 to 2414 of the family's 2925-position model. Lineage: Bacteria; Bacillati; Bacillota; Bacilli; Caryophanales; Staphylococcaceae. The record is from RNAcentral.
CACACUGCCGAGAAAAGCCUCUAGAUAGAAAAUAGGUGCCCGUACCGCAAACCGACACAGGUAGUCAAGAUGAGAAUUCUAAGGUGAGCGAGCGAACUCUCGUUAAGGAACUCGGCAAAAUGACCCCGUAACUUCGGGAGAAGGGGUGCUCUUUAGGGUUAACGCCCAGAAGAGCCGCAGUGAAUAGGCCCAAGCGACUGUUUAUCAAAAACACAGGUCUCUGCUAAACCGUAAGGUGAUGUAUAGGGGCUGACGCCUGCCCGGUGCUGGAAGGUUAAGAGGAGUGGUUAGCUUCUGCGAAGCUACGAAUCGAAGCCCCAGUAAACGGCGGCCGUAACUAUAACGGUCCUAAGGUAGCGAAAUUCCUUGUCGGGUAAGUUCCGACCCGCACGAAAGGCGUAACGAUUUGGGCACUGUCUCAACGAGAGACUCGGUGAAAUCAUAGUACCUGUGAAGAUGCAGGUUACCCGCGACAGGACGGAAAGACCCCGUGGAGCUUUACUGUAGCCUGAUAUUGAAAUUCGGCACAGCUUGUACAGGAUAGGUAGGAGCCUUUGAAACGUGAGCGCUAGCUUACGUGGAGGCGCUGGUGGGAUACUACCCUAGCUGUGUUGGCUUUCUAACCCGCACCACUUAUCGUGGUGGGAGACAGUGUCAGGCGGGCAGUUUGACUGGGGCGGUCGCCUCCUAAAAGGUAACGGAGGCGCUCAAAGGUUCCCUCAGAAUGGUUGGAAAUCAUUCAUAGAGUGUAAAGGCAUAAGGGAGCUUGACUGCGAGACCUACAAGUCGAGCAGGGUCGAAAGACGGACUUA